UUCCUACGGGGCGCAGCAGUGAGGAAUAUUGGUCAAUGGCCGCAGGGCUGAACCAGCCAAGUCGCGUGAGGGAUGACGGUCCUAUGGAUUGUAAACCUCUUUUGUCAGGGAGCAAAGGGCGCCACGUGUGGCGUUUUGCGAGUACCUGAAGAAAAAGCAUCGGCUAACUCCGUGCCAGCAGCCGCGGUAAUACGGAGGAUGCGAGCGUUAUCCGGAUUUAUUGGGUUUAAAGGGUGCGUAGGCGGACAGUCAAGUCAGCGGUAAAAAUGCGGUGCUCAACGCCGUACAGCCGUUGAAAC
Molecule: ribosomal RNA, 299 nt
Filed under: uncultured bacterium
Lineage: Bacteria
Description: partial 16S ribosomal RNA
Rfam family: Bacterial small subunit ribosomal RNA
Source: RNAcentral